RNAcentral lists this long non-coding RNA (418 nucleotides) under Mytilus galloprovincialis (Mediterranean mussel). The record is from RNAcentral. Lineage: Eukaryota; Metazoa; Mollusca; Bivalvia; Mytilida; Mytilidae.
AAAUUUUCAUAUCAUUCCAGUAUAAAUGAUGCACUUGAGUAUCUAAAAUCAAAGUGCUGGAUAGCACCGGUGGAAAGUUUGCAACGGUAGAUUGUAAUAUUUAAAAUAGAUUGUAAAUCUGUAGAUUGCUUGGUUAACUUUAAAAAAAAAAAAAAAAAAAAAAACUUUAUCAAGAAAUAAUUGUGACAGAAUGCUACUUGGAAGUCUCCCAAACAAAGCUCUCAAAAUUAGUCAUUCCAACGGUCGCCUGACAUUUGGCAAAGUCCAAUACAAAUUGGUCUGGUCUAGUAAAGUGAUAUGCACAAGUGAUGUCUAGGUUUUACACCUGUAUGUCAUUCAAAUCUUCUUGAAAUCAUGUACAGUAAUACUCAUGAUUUAUUGGUGGGGAUCUAGACAGUUUACAAGCUCUCAAACAGGC